UGAAACGUUUCCCAAGACAUGCGGAGUGCGGCAGGCUGGGUCCGUUUCACAGACUCCCACCAGUAGUCUGCCUCGCCACGGAACAUAAAGGUGGCGAAUGGAACCUUCUGUUCCUCCGUGCAUCCCAAGACAUCGAAUAUCUUGGUAAUUUGCUUGACCCAUGUUUCCGCCAUGAUCGGAUCAGGCUUUCCCUUAAAUUCUGGUGGUCCC
This 210-nucleotide long non-coding RNA is filed under the name Panax ginseng (ginseng). Its description in RNAcentral is "long non-coding RNA (PGIN_LNC015058)". The record is from RNAcentral. Lineage: Eukaryota; Viridiplantae; Streptophyta; Magnoliopsida; Apiales; Araliaceae.